GUAUAUGGUUUAUAGGCACUGAGGCCCAAAUGAUACAUUCUGUUACAUACUACGGGUAUAUGAAAAACAUAGGCUUGGAAAUGCAAAGAAAGCUGACCCACAGAGAGCAGCAUUCUUCCCGACCGAGUUGCCUCGGAAAGUGUAUCCAAGUCUACAAGAUGUGCACAGGUGGAGAGAUGAGAAUGGCGGGUGUGCACAUGCCCCAAGAGGGCCAGCAACAACCACACCAAGUUCAUUCAAUAAUGAUCCUUCCGCAGGUUCACCUACGGAAA
RNAcentral lists this unclassified non-coding RNA (272 nucleotides) under uncultured fungus. RNAcentral's name for it is "sequence contains ITS1". The record is from RNAcentral. Lineage: Eukaryota; Fungi.